GACGAACGCUGACGGCGUGCCUAAUACAUGCAAGUUGAGCGAUGAAGAUUGGUGCUUGCACCAAUUUGAAGAGCAGCGAACGGGUGAGUAACGCGUGGGGAAUCUGCCUUUGAGCGGGGGACAACAUUUGGAAACGAAUGCUAAUACCGCAUAAUAACUUUAAACAUAAGUUUUAAGUUUGAAAGAUGCAAUUGCAUCACUCAAAGAUGAUCCCGCGUUGUAUUAGCUAGUUGGUGAGGUAAAGGCUCACCAAGGCGAUGAUACAUAGCCGACCUGAGAGGGUGAUCGGCCACAUUGGGACUGAGACACGGCCCAAACUCCUACGGGAGGCAGCAGUAGGGAAUCUUCGGCAAUGGACGAAAGUCUGACCGAGCAACGCCGCGUGAGUGAAGAAGGUUUUCGGAUCGUAAAACUCUGUUGGUAGAGAAGAACGUUGGUGAGAGUGGAAAGCUCAUCAAGUGACGGUAACUACCCAGAAAGGGACGGCUAACUACGUG
Molecule: ribosomal RNA, 497 nt
Filed under: uncultured bacterium
Lineage: Bacteria
Description: partial 16S ribosomal RNA
Rfam family: Bacterial small subunit ribosomal RNA
Source: RNAcentral